Molecule: ribosomal RNA, 254 nt
Filed under: uncultured bacterium
Lineage: Bacteria
Description: partial 16S ribosomal RNA
Rfam family: Bacterial small subunit ribosomal RNA
Source: RNAcentral
UACGUAGGUGGCAAGCGUUGUCCGGAUUUACUGGGCGUAAAGAGCGCGCAGGCGGUCGUUCAAGUCGCGUGUGAAAGCCCCCGGCUCAACUGGGGAGGGUCACGCGAUACUGAUCGACUCGAAGGCAGGAGAGGGUAGUGGAAUUCCCGGUGUAGCGGUGAAAUGCGUAGAGAUCGGGAAGAACACCGGUGGCGAAAGCGCUCUGCUGGACCACAACUGACACUCACAGGACGAAAGCUAGGGGAGCGAAUGGG